Molecule: non-coding RNA, 128 nt
Organism: Podarcis lilfordi (Lilford's wall lizard)
Lineage: Eukaryota; Metazoa; Chordata; Lepidosauria; Squamata; Lacertidae
Source: the annotation of a GenBank genome assembly
GUUUCCCAAACUUGGGUCUCCGGCUGUUUUGGGACUACAAUUCCCAUCAUCCCUGACCACUGGUUCUGCUAGCUCGGGAUGAUGGGAGUUGUAGUCCCAAAAGAGCCAGAGACCCAAGUUUGGGAAAC